CCUGCACUUCUCCCUUCCACGCUGCUCUUCCUUUCGUUGGGAAAUUAAUCUUUCUCAUACAAUAAAUUUGAAAAAUAUAAUAGAGGUUAAUGAUAGAAGGGAUCCUAUAGAUGAAACUAUAUUUCAUUUGGUGUAAGAAUCAGGGUAAUCUGAAUAUCGUCGUGGUAUACCUGCUAGACCUAAAAAGUGUUGUGGAAAGAAAGUAAUAUUUACUCCAAUAAAUAUUAUAUAAAAGUGGGAUUUGGUAUACUGUUGAUUUAAAGGUAAACCUGUAAUUAAAGGGUAUCAGUGGGUGAAUCCUGCAAAUUAGGCAAAAACAGCUCCUAUGGAUAAAACAUAAUGGAAAUGUGCAACUACAUAAUAUGUAUCAUGAAGUAUAAUAUCUAAGGAUGAAUUGGAUAAAGCAAUUCCAGUUAAUCCACCUGAUGAUUUAAAU
Octopus sinensis (East Asian common octopus) is the source of this 436-nucleotide long non-coding RNA. RefSeq lists it as uncharacterized. NCBI's taxonomy places the organism in Eukaryota, Metazoa, Mollusca, Cephalopoda, Octopoda, Octopodidae. The transcript has 2 exons. The record is from RefSeq and is a predicted model, not a curated record.